CUCCCCCGCCAGCUCCUUUCUGCGAGCGAGACCAUUCCGGCCAUCCUCCUGCUCCCUUCCGGGGAUUCCUGGAAGGCAGCGGAUCCAGAGGGUUGCUCCCCUCCCUCCCCGGUGUUGUUCCCCUCCCAGAAUCCAGAACCCCAGACUCAGGAAAGAACGGCCCCUGCUGUCCCUUCCUCGCUUUCGGUCCCAAUCACGUUGUCAAGCUUUUGUGUGAACCGACCCAGCUGUAACCCUUCCCCACUCGGCCUACCAUGAGGCAGAGUCCCUGAGAGGUGCUGCAGCCUCGCUGCCCUCCGUCCUCCUACCCACCUGGAGGCAGGGUGGACCCCAGGACAUAGGUGCCCCCUUUCCGCAUGGAAAAGGCCAGCAUCACCCUGCUCCCAAAAGCAGAGUCACAGAAAGGUCUGGUGGAACCUGCCGCUGCCCAGCAACGUCAGGACGACCGAGUCGGCAGGAAUUGGGUGGUGUUACGGUGUUACAACUGAGCACCCUUGCAGCAGGUGUGUACCUGUCUAUAAAGGGCUCCCCGGGAACGUAAUGGUGAGCAACCACCAAGAGCUGGAUCCUGUAACCCAUGAGCUGUCUUGCCAGGAUUCCAGAUGUGGCCCAGAUGUCCACAGCAGUCCCUCCCACAGGGUGGGACACAGCUAUUCUAUGCAGCCCCUCCCAACCCUUCUCCCAAGGUCAGGGAAGGAAAGCCGGCCACCUCCAGGGCACCCUCCUCAUUCAAGAUGCAGAAAGAAGAGAUGAUGGCUCCCCUCAAGUUCUUCUUCCUGCCCGAAGCCACCUGGGUUCAUUCUGUGGUCUAACUGCUAGCCCUCUACUGACAGGUUAAGUCUAGAUCCCCAGAAAGAAAGGCAAACUUCCCAGGGCCCAUUCAUCUCUCUCUAGAGAGAGAGAGAGAGAGAGAGAGAGAGAGAGAGAGAGAGACUGGACUUACUCGCCCUACACAAGGAAGGAUUCUCGUCCAUCUCCCUAGUGGCCUCGGUCCUUGGGCAGCGCCCUCUGCUGGCCAGUGCAAAGUGCGGGAAAGAACAAAGUCCUGCACAUGUACGCAAGGAAGAUCUAGGGAAGGGGACAAGGGGCAGAGAAACAAGUGAGGACUUUAAGCUCCCCUAUCAAAGCCCAUGCAUACAUUAAGACGAGCCCCUAGACGUGGGAAAAUCAUGACCAGCUUUACUUGGGGCUGGGGGGUAAGUAAGCUAGCAAACAGGGCUUUUGACAUCCCAGAAAUGGCACUCCCUGCCCUGAAUGGCUCACUUGCCCUCUGUCCCUGAAACCCUUGUGCCUGCCAGACGGCCUUCCCUGCCACCUCCUACCAGGACAACAUGCUGGAAGGCCAGGUCUGGUACCCUGAACCCAGGAGCUUAAAGAGAGGGCACCCCAAGACUUAAGCGUGCAACUGGCAGUAGCUGUCUCUCGCACUUCACACACACAAGAGCGCUAAGCCCAGACCCCAGCGAUGGCAGGACUCAAAGUAGAAUUAGGCCCUGAGUCACAGCCUGGCAUGAGCGUGCCUGACCAAGACUGGCCAGCUUGUCCAGAGAACCUUCAGCCAGGUCUUACCUCCAGAGGUCGUCUCCAUUCCUGACCUUCACAGGCCCAUUAGGGCCUGCGGCCCGGGCCAGACUUGUACUCCACAGCCUGCAAAGCCAGAGGGCCAGGCUGUCUGCACCACUCCCCAUGAAGCACAUGACACCGCGGCUGCCUUUUGUGGUGCCCUCCCCGCCUCACUUAACCGAUUCACUGAUCCACCUAAGUGGCCAGGUCCCCUACCAGCCAGCCUGGGAGGACUCCCGGGGGCGGGGUUGAAGCCCAGGAGGAACAGAGAGCUAGGCGCUUUAAUUGGAGGUAAUUAGUUAAUCUACUCUGAAAGCAGAGGGGGAGGGGAGAGGCUUUGGGAAAAGAGGGCUCCGUACAGGCAAUCUGGUGAGUCUCUUUUGGGGCACGUGCACCCACUUAAGAGGCCUCUCUUCAGCCCCAGAACAGACCGUGGGGCAGCUUUGCACGCAAAAAAAGCAGGUGCCCGGGGGGUGGAGGGUAAGCUAGGAGAACACCACGGGAAGCCAGGACGAUGCAGGGGCUCUACGACAGAAACUAGUCCCUCUCUGUCACCUUUGCUUCCGGCCUCCCAAGGUCACACACAUACAGCCCUCCAAGUUAGGAGCCAGUGCUCUCCCAAC
Molecule: non-coding RNA, 2186 nt
Organism: Cricetulus griseus (Chinese hamster)
Lineage: Eukaryota; Metazoa; Chordata; Mammalia; Rodentia; Cricetidae
Source: RefSeq, a predicted model, not a curated record